UAGGAGUAUUUCUACUCCUAAUAUUGUGAGUAAACUUAUUAUCAUUUAAUUUAUCUAAGGUAGUUUUUAUGAAAUUUUAUAAAUUUUAUGAAAAAUGGAUUUUAAAAGGAUAAAUUUCGUGUUUUAUAAAUAAAUGUGUUUUUAUAAAAUGGUUUUAUAAAUUGUUUGAAAUUAAUGAUGAAUGUUAUUUUUCUUAAAUAGAGUACAUGGAGACUGUGGUUGUUAAGUAUGAAUUGUAUUUUUAAUUCAAAUGGCUGAUGAUAGUGUGAGCAUGCUUGGCUGGUUUAUUGUAUUGAAAUUACAUGAAUUAUGGUUUGCCGUGCAAAUUAGUUAUUAUAAAAAAAUUACCUUGUUAUGCUGUUAAACUAUUUUAUGAUUAUGGUGGGGCUGACCUACACUGCAGUGGCGGAUUUCUGUGGACCAUCCUAUUAGAGGGGCUCGGUAAACCCAACUAAUUUAUUUUACCUCUGUGGGAGAGGCGCAUAGGGUAACUCUUGUGGAGGGGUUUGAGUCCACUUCAUGCUUUACCACCACGUGAAAGUGAGAUUCAGCCAACGCCAAGGGAUGACUGUUUUAUAUGAAUAAGUCGUUUUAACAACCUUGGCGGACUCGAGUGGAUGCUUUGAUGACGAUCAAGUAUCCCCAAGGAUGAGUUUUGGCAUGAGCCAAAAUUUUAUGAGAAACAUAAGCCUUGAAAAUCAUUUUAAUUGAGUUAUAAUUGUUUUCAUGGGAUGGAAUAAAUUUCUAAGUUAUGAAAUGCAUAUUGGGAUGGGAUAUUUUAUUGUCUCCAUUUACUUGGCUUUAGAUACUUUAGAUGGUAUCUAUUUACUCAUUGGGAUUACAAAAUCUCAUUCGUUCUUCUAUACAUUUUUCAGGCUCAGGACAGUUUGUAGAUAGUCGAGUAGGACGAGAACUAAGCUCGAAACUGCAUUAUAGAAAGUAAGAGUUCACAAUCUUACAUCCUCUUGGUCAAUUGGGGCUCACGUGUCAUUGUAGAUCAAAUCUUAUAUUUUGGUUAUCUGUAUUUCUAUUCAUACAAUUUUUACUUUACUUUCAUGUGUGAAA
RNAcentral lists this long non-coding RNA (1065 nucleotides) under Theobroma cacao (cacao). RNAcentral's name for it is "long non-coding RNA (TCAC_LNC004598)". The record is from RNAcentral. Lineage: Eukaryota; Viridiplantae; Streptophyta; Magnoliopsida; Malvales; Malvaceae.